Molecule: ribosomal RNA, 301 nt
Filed under: uncultured bacterium
Lineage: Bacteria
Description: partial 16S ribosomal RNA
Rfam family: Bacterial small subunit ribosomal RNA
Source: RNAcentral
CAGUAGCCGCGGGAAUACAGAGGGUGCGAGCGUUAAUCGGAUUUACUGGGCGUAAAGCGUGCGUAGGCGGCUUCUUAAGUCGGAUGUGAAAUCCCUGAGCUUAACUUAGGAAUUGCAUUCGAUACUGGGAAGCUAGAGUAUGGGAGAGGAUGGUAGAAUUCCAGGUGUAGCGGUGAAAUGCGUAGAGAUCUGGAGGAAUACCGAUGGCGAAGGCAGCCAUCUGGCCUAAUACUGACGCUGAGGUACGAAAGCAUGGGGAGCAAACAGGAUUAGAUACCCAGUAGUCCCUGUCUCUUAUACC